This 432-nucleotide ribosomal RNA is filed under the name uncultured bacterium. Its description in RNAcentral is "partial 16S ribosomal RNA". It matches the Rfam family "Bacterial small subunit ribosomal RNA", at positions 29 to 506 of the family's 1533-position model. The record is from RNAcentral.
AACGAACGCUGGCGGCAUGCCUAACACAUGCCAGUCGAACGAGACCUUCGGGUCUAGUGGCGCACGGGUGCGUAACGUGUGGGAACCUGCCCUUAGGUUCGGAAUAACUCCCCGAAAGGGGUGCUAAUACCGGAUAAUGUCUUCGGACCAAAGAUUUAUCGCCUUUGGAUGGGCCCGCGUUGGAUUAGCUAGUUGGUAGGGUAAAAGCCUACCAAGGCGACGAUCCAUAGCUGGUCUGAGAGGAUGAUCAGCCACACUGGGACUGAGACACGGCCCAGACUCCUACGGGAGGCAGCAGUGGGGAAUAUGGGACAAUGGGCGAAAGCCUGAUCCAGCAAUGCCGCGGGAGUGAUGAAGGCCUUAGGGUUGUAAAGCUCUUUUACCCGGGAUGAUAAUGACAGUACCGGGAGAAUAAGCUCCGGCUAACUCCGG